This 207-nucleotide ribosomal RNA is filed under the name uncultured bacterium. RNAcentral describes it as "partial 16S ribosomal RNA". It matches the Rfam family "Bacterial small subunit ribosomal RNA", at positions 568 to 774 of the family's 1533-position model. The record is from RNAcentral.
CGUGUAGGCGGAUAUUCAAGUUAGGGGUGAAAGGCCUGGGCUCAACCUGGGAACUGCCUUUAAAACUGAAGAUCUAGAGUACGGAAGAGGGUAGCGGAAUACCCAGUGUAGAGGUGAAAUUCGUAGAUAUGGGUAGAACACCGGUGGCGAAGGCGGCUGCCUGGUCCGUAACUGACGCUGAUGCGCGAAAGCGGUGGGGAGCAAACA